Molecule: long non-coding RNA, 2758 nt
Organism: Thamnophis elegans (Western terrestrial garter snake)
Lineage: Eukaryota; Metazoa; Chordata; Lepidosauria; Squamata; Natricidae
Exons: 2
Source: RefSeq, a predicted model, not a curated record
UCUGCUUACGCGGAGUAAGGACCCCGGCCAGCUUCCUUUGAAGGCAGAUCGGUCUGCAGAUAACAAAAAUAAUCAGAAUCGCUCUGUGGUUGCUUCUGAAAGCACAGCCCCGACACAAGAGUUGUUGACAGGGACUUGGAUGAGUUUAUGAAGUAAUAGGAGCAAGACAAGGAAGAACUAAAAACCAGGUUUGCCAGGCAAUGCAAAUAACCGAAAAGAUACAUCUUCUUACCAUACGGAUAUGGCAAGAUCUUAUAAUCUUCCAUCAGGAAUGAUAUGGAUGCAUAACUCAAUGUAUUAAGAUCUACUGCGAGCUGGCCUGAAGCCUACCAGAGUCAUGCCCAAUUGUUCCAUAUUCUUCCUGGAGAGUCAGUAACCCUGGCAGUUACUCUAGAGCAGUCGAGUAAUCAUCCACCGUGUCAGUAAGAAAUCAUACAUUCAUUUCCCUUAGACAUUAAGGGCAAGGAAGAAGAGAAGGAUUCCAAGUUGGAUGAUAGAGAUUACAUCAUUAUGGAUAAACCCGUGAGCCUGUCCAACUGAAACAAUGCCAAUAGACCAAGAUGAUUCAAGAGUGUGAUACAUGCAUCUCCAGCUGUUGACACUCUCUUCUUCAGUUGCGCUCUCAUAGCUUCUUUUGCCUCUUGCUUAUUCUUCCUUUGGAGAAUCAUUUCGACAAAAAGGUGGAGCUGAGACACUUACACAGGGAGUGGCAUCUGAACCAAACUGUAGUGGCAACAUUGGCACUUGCAUUUGGACAUCUGAUAUAAGUAUAUAAAGCUUGGCAUCUGUGGGGUAAUAUUAUCAUGCAUGUUUUGUCAUUGUCCCCCAUUUGUCCACUCUGUGGACAACCAUGUCAGGAUCAGACUGUAACUAUAAACAGAGCACUGAUCUGGCAGAUGUACAUCCCGAAGCCAAGCAUUGUAGAAAAAGCUAUUUUGAUUUGUCAUGAAUUAACCUGCUAAAAUUUCAGAAAAGUAUUUUAGUCCUACUGGAUCAUAUGCAAGUUUAAAUAUUAAUGUUAAUGAUGUUGUUUGAUAAUGAUGCCCGGAGAGUGCUACAUAUCUAAUUAAAAUAUUGGACUAGGAGGGGGCAUGUUCAAUUUUAUCCUCAACGAUGAAUAUUUAUUGGACAAGUUAUCCUAGCCUCAUAGCUUGCUGUGGGAGAAAGAAUUGCAGUAGGAGGGGGUAUUAAAUACAUUUGAGUUGAGCACCUCUUGGAGUACAGGUGAGCUGUAGAUAUGAAUAUAACAGAUGCUUUUCACUUGAUGAGUGUAUUUAGACCUUAUGUGUGAGAAACUUUAAAGUUACACAGACAGAAAUCAAAGCAUCUUGAAACAUUUCUGAAUAUCUCUAGGGCUGUAGAAGAAGAAGUGGCAGAGCCUAGAGGCAAGGUCAAAAGAAAGAUCGGUCUAGAAUCCAUACAUAGCCACAAACGUACUAAGUUCAACACACUAUGAAUUCUGUUGACCCUUAUGUAACUUCUAGCAAGUGUUAACCAUUAGUUGAGAAUGUUCCUCUGUUUAAUUGGAACCUCAAAUGCGGUCCUGAUUUUUUGCAUCUGAGAGGGGCAGAAGAACACACUUGAAAAGAAUGAUCUAAGGUAAUUAAUUUACUACUAUAAGAUUGGUACAGUUGAAAAAGAUGGGAAUUGCAAUUAUUUCUUUCAAGACUCUUACCUUCUCCUAAGUAAUAAACAUUUUGGGUCUUUUUUUUAAAAAAAAAUGAGGAUACAAGAGGAAAGAAGGAAGACUUCCACUGCUAUGUCUAUACUGUAUGCUUGCUAAUUUUGUUAAAUCGUAAACCAUGUUUUACACAGCAUGAUGACUAGGUUCAUGUAUCAUGCUGAGCUAUAAUAGCAUUUGGUUGGGUUUGCCUUGGUAUAAUGUGUGAUUUGUAAAUCAUAUAUUAUGACAUAGCAUUAUGACUGAACUAGGCUGAAAUGGCUUCUUCAAUAAACCCUAUUUGAAAUAAAAUUUGCUCUACUGUAACCUCAGCCAUUGCAUGGGCCAGUCCUAUUCAUAUUGUGCACUUUUAUUUUAAUUUAUUAAAUUCGUUUGCCUCCCAUCUCACCGCUCUAAAGGAAAUUCUCAAAGUUAGGCCCUAAUUAAUUCACCUCUUUGAAAACAUUUCCUAUGUUUUCACUCCUUGAGGCUGGACUAACCAGACUACAGUACAGUAAAGUAACUAGCCAUAACUCAAAAGGUUUCUUUAUUAAAGGAUAAACUGUCAGCCAUUUAUCAAGUAGAAAAUAGGGUAUUUUCUAUGCAGACUAGAGAGCUGGGCAGACAUAAGCACUGAAGACAUCUCUGUACCUCUCAGAACAGCUGGGAAAGCUAAAGUCCAUCUGUACUACAGAAUCCAGCAAAAAUGGAAAUUACUGAAGAGUGCCUGGCUAGUUUAUUUUAGUUCCAGCCUGGGAAAAGAGAGGGAAUGUUCAAGUGGAAUUAAAUGCAUACGACUUUUUUAAUUAAGUAAGUUUGGCAUCCUUUGCAAAAAAUAGUAUUUGCCAUCUCUUUGAAGGAAUAUUAAAAAGUUUACAAAGCCAAGUGCAUACUACGGUGCAAAUUAAAUGCUAAAUGGUCAUUUAAUGACUACAAAGAAGGGUCAUGUUUCUCUUGCUUCUUUUAUCUUUCAGGUGACAUUAUUGAGGACUUUUAAACCAUUUUAUUUGAUCUUCUUUUAGCCUGUCUGCAAAAGCUCUUCACUGUAUCUGUAGCCUUUUUUCACCCACCUUCAAAUAAACAAUACGUUUUACAAUA